AUUGAACGCUGGCGGCAUGCCUUACACAUGCAAGUCGAACGGCAGCACGGGAGCUUGCUCCUGGUGGCGAGUGGCGAACGGGUGAGUAAUACAUCGGAACGUACCCUGAAGUGGGGGAUAACGUAGCGAAAGUUACGCUAAUACCGCAUAUUCUGUGAGCAGGAAAGAGGGGGAUCGCAAGACCUCUUGCUUUAGGAGCGGCCGAAUGUCGGAUUAGCUAGUUGGUGAGGUAAAGGCUCACCAAGGCGACGAUCCGUAGCGGGUCUGAGAGGAUGAUCCGCCACACUGGGACUGAGACACGGCCCAGACUCCUACGGGAGGCAGCAGUGGGGAAUUUUGGACAAUGGGCGCAAGCCUGAUCCAGCCAUGCCGCGUGAGUGAAGAAGGCCUUCGG
This 394-nucleotide ribosomal RNA is filed under the name uncultured bacterium. RNAcentral describes it as "bacterial SSU rRNA". It matches the Rfam family "Bacterial small subunit ribosomal RNA", at positions 30 to 421 of the family's 1533-position model. The record is from RNAcentral.